CCUAAGUUCAUCGAUUAGACAUUGUUUAAAUUACAAGCCUGUGACUUAGUAGACCUGAAACAUCAACCUAUGCAAAAAUGUAUCCAGUUGGCCGCCCUAAUCAGGUGAGGAAUAGUCAAUAAAUUUCAGCUGAGUUUUAUUCAUGAGAUCGGUAACCUCUUUGAAUCAACACAGUUGGAGUUUCAGGGAAAAUGCCAACCGUGGCAUCCACUAUGAGGUCUCUAAUCCCAUCCUCUCUGUUGGAUGGAUUUAUUUUAAAGGGUUUCAGUACCAUUUGGGUAUACUACUUGAUUUGUAUCCAGAGUUCAAGCUAGUUCCUUUGUAAAAUACUAACCACAGACACAAAGUUGAAUUUUUCAACAUAAAUUAUGAAACUUUGUUAAACUUCUAAACCAAUGUAAAACAUCCCUUUGUUUUGACUUCUUCUUUACUUUACGACCAAAACUCGACGGAAACUUCAGUUUCAAAUAAGGUUCUACUAAGAGCUGAAUUUUUGGUCUCAUCGGGAACUUGACUUUCUUGGUUCCUCUUAAGGGGUUAUAUACAGUUAUGGUUUUCAAAAAAUCGAUUUUUUUUUUGCGUUUUCUUAAUAUAUAAAUAUCUGAGACACAUUAGUGAAGGCGCGCCGACUACAUGUAAAGUGCUUUCAAAACUUUAAACUCGUUUUUCUCGAAACGAUGUUUUCAAAGUCGAUGGGCAAGAUUUCUCAGAAACGGCUGAACCGAUCGGUCUAAAAUUUUUACACAUGCUUCUUAACUACAUUUUUUAGUAAUUAAUCGAAGGAUUUCCCCAUCCGAUGAAAAUUUCUUAUUUUUAUAAACAAUUAACCCUGGCUCACCAAUGUUAGUGGUUUCGACUAACAUUGUUCCUUUUUGCUCUCGCAAUUUCUUUUUUCUUUUUAUCUAUCGUCCUCUCAUUUAAUGUUGAUUUAGUUGCUAAGCUACUGCCGAUGAACACAGUCACGUUGUGUGGAUUAGCUGAAGGUGUAACUUUUUUUUAGCGAGUAAUAUGGCUGCACAUAGAAUAUCUGACGAUGAAAUUGAGAGAAUUUUGGAUCUUUCCGAUGAUGAAGAAAAAAGAUUUCAGUGCUUCCGAAAGCGAGUACGCACCAAGUCCAUCCGAAGAAAUGAUGCAGGGAAGUUCGUCAGAUGAAGUAGUAGAUAGUGAUGGUUAUGAAGGCAGUGAUCACAAUCUGGAAGGCAGCGAUGAAGAAAGCAGUCCUACUCAACCGACUCACAAAAAUAUUAUACCUUUUUCAAAAAACAUUUUACGUGGGAAGAAUAAACACAAUUGGACGAAAUUUGCGCCUUCUGCCCAUAUCAAAAACACCGCAUGACGAAGGCAGUAUGCACAAAAUGCGGCAAAAGUACCUGUGAUGAUCCAGUCCAGAGAUAUCGUGGUCACCGCAAAAUUGGCAAUAUCAACGUUCCCGAUAAUUAUUUUUGGCAAUAAAAAAUAUGUGAAUAUAGUUUAAGGUUGUCAUAAUAUACCUGCCAUGUUUCAAAUCAAUAAACCAAAUAGUUUGCUUAGAAAAAAUUCUUGAAAAAUGCCUUUUUUUCGACCUCCUAACUGUAUAUAACCUCUUAAAAAAUGUCUGCUACAGCGAAGACACCUUCUUUUAUUUCUGUAUUUCUGGAACUCUGAUUGAUAGUUUCUGAGCUUUUUACAACGAACUUGAUCUUCAAAGAAAGGUGUAUUGUUUUUAAAGAUAUCUGAGAACUACCAUCAUAUGUCCAACUUCGAGAGAGAGACCCACAAAGAGACACGCUAUAUUUGCCUUUUGUACAUUUCCAAACAACGUCCAGUAAAUACACACACCAUUGCGGUACUCUCACAGAAGUGUCAAUAUUUUAUUAUUGAAAAUGGGUUUUGCCAUAAACUUUUCCGUGGCUUGCAGGCAACAACUGUGGCUUGGCUUGAGUUGCCAUAGCUUUUUGCGUUUCAUAUUUUAUACGGCUGCUGGCAUACUCUUGCUGUUGUUGUUGUUGUGUGCUGUUGCGCUGUGCGGCUGACUAUUUGGCUUGUCAGAGACUGCAGGCGUGGGAAGUGCGAGCGGAUAAUAUAGCCGGAAGUUGUUGCUGCAUGUGAUUGUGUUGGCACAGUGACGCUAAUACACACACCGACAUACAUACGCAUACACCCAUAUUCCU
Zeugodacus cucurbitae (melon fly) is the source of this 2150-nucleotide long non-coding RNA. RefSeq lists it as uncharacterized. The transcript is spliced from 3 exons. The record is from RefSeq and is a predicted model, not a curated record. NCBI's taxonomy places the organism in Eukaryota, Metazoa, Arthropoda, Insecta, Diptera, Tephritidae.